Paramuricea clavata is the source of this 967-nucleotide non-coding RNA. The record is from the annotation of a GenBank genome assembly. NCBI's taxonomy places the organism in Eukaryota, Metazoa, Cnidaria, Anthozoa, Malacalcyonacea, Plexauridae.
UGCAGCCAUUACGUCAGAGAAAAAAAUUCGUGCAAGCAAACAGCGAAGUACAAAUAGUCUUGAAAAAAAAUUCGUGCAGAGGUUAAAUGCAUUAAAAAAAAAUUCCUCCAGAGACACGAGACUGAAAAAAAAUUCGUGCCGCAAAAAUUUUAUAGCCCCCCUCCCGGGAUUUCUAAUGGUCCGCCCCUUACCACAGCUAGAAAGAGCAUGUUGAAAUUGAAGUUAAUUUUAACAUGCUCUUUCUAGCUGUGGUGAUGGAUUUUGUUCUUGCCUAGAUCAAAAUUUAGUUUAUAGCUGGAUACUGCUGGAAUCAUCCAUUGUGUACAAAGUUUCGUUCAAAAAUUCCAUCCACAAAAAUACCAUCUAUAGAAAACUUAAAAUCGGAAACUGAAACCCAUCUGAUGCAUAUAUCGUAGCCGAUUUUGAGCUUUUAUCAACGCUAAUCGCUAAAUUUCUAUUUUCGAUACCAAAAGUGGUCAGUUUCGAUUUCCUCACAAUUUUAAUCUUGGUAAAGGGAAAAUAUUCCACCAUUUUAUGAAGAUAGAGCUGUGAGAUAAACAAAUGGCCCAAAUAACAUUCAAUUUUUUUAUAUGUGUGACUUGACGUGUACUACUACAUCUUUAAUUAAUAAACGGUUUUUUGGCGUGAAAGAGUGAAGUAGGCAUGUUGUUAAAAAAGCGAAAAAGUGGUGCAAUUAAAGCCAUUAUACAGUACAGUAAGAUCACGUUAAUUCUCCCUGGGUUUGACUAUAUAGGCCUAAAUUUGUAGGGUAAUUUACUCGAACUGUAUUUUUGAGACAUGGAUCGGCAAACCUGAAAAUGUCAGAACCACUGAUCUAUCAGUGGUCAGAACUCAGAUAUACCACAGUGGAUAUACAAACGUUAUAAAAGGUUGAACAAGUUGCGUCGAUCAAUACCGAUCUGCCAACAAUAAAAUGACAAUUAUUAACAUAAUAAACGUAAUCCAA